CUCAAGAAAAACCUUUAAAAUUUCAUUACUCACAUCUCAAACUGUUCUACACAUAUAAUUCUUGAUGAGAUAUUCCACAUCUUCAAUCAAUAAUCUCAUCAAAUCGAUCACUAAACAAUCAAUGGGAACCAAAAAUGUGGAAAUUAAUGUACAAUAUGCAUCUUAAAUGACUGAAUUCAUAAAUUCUCAUCAUUCAUCAUCUUUGGACUCGGUAGCAUUAAAGGAGCCUUCUUCAUCAAAGGAGCUUUCAUCAUCAAAGGAGCCUUCUUCAUCAAUGGAGCCUUCUUCAUCAACAUCAGCAGCAUGAACACCCACAGCAUCUGUGGUAUCACGAGGUGAAUACACAAUUUUUUUUAUAUCUGAACUAUCAUCCAAAACAAACACAUCAUGAAAUUCUUUAGGCAUAUCAAUCUAUACCAUAAUAAGACUAUAAGACUGAGCUAGUUUGAAUACAAAUCAAAUUAAAUCACAAAUCUAAUCUAUCUAUACUAAUAGAAAAAG
This 501-nucleotide long non-coding RNA is filed under the name Salvia miltiorrhiza (redroot sage). RNAcentral's name for it is "long non-coding RNA (SMIL_LNC002726)". The record is from RNAcentral. Lineage: Eukaryota; Viridiplantae; Streptophyta; Magnoliopsida; Lamiales; Lamiaceae.